RNAcentral lists this ribosomal RNA (1018 nucleotides) under Euderia squamosa. RNAcentral's name for it is "SSU rRNA". It matches the Rfam family "Eukaryotic small subunit ribosomal RNA", at positions 50 to 988 of the family's 1831-position model. Lineage: Eukaryota; Metazoa; Arthropoda; Insecta; Coleoptera; Bostrichidae. The record is from RNAcentral.
CAUGCAUGUCUCAGUACAAGCCGAAUUAAGGUGAAACCGCGAAAGGCUCAUUAAAUCAGUUAUGGUUCCUUAGAUCGUACCCACAUUUACUUGGAUAACUGUGGUAAUUCUAGAGCUAAUACAUGCAAACAGAGCUCCGACCGGAGACGGAAGGAGCGCUUUUAUUAGAUCAAAACCAAUCGGCGGCGGGUCUUCGGGUCCGUCGUCGUUCAACCUGGUGACUCUGAAUAACUUUCAGCUGAUCGCACGGUCACGCACCGGCGACGCAUCUUUCAAAUGUCUGCCUUAUCAACUGUCGAUGGUAGGUUCUGCGCCUACCAUGGUCGUAACGGGUAACGGGGAAUCAGGGUUCGAUUCCGGAGAGGGAGCCUGAGAAACGGCUACCACAUCCAAGGAAGGCAGCAGGCGCGCAAAUUACCCACUCCCGGCACGGGGAGGUAGUGACGAAAAAUAACGAUACGGGACUCAUCCGAGGCCCCGUAAUCGGAAUGAGUACACUCUAAACCCUUUAACGAGGAUCAAUUGGAGGGCAAGUCUGGUGCCAGCAGCCGCGGUAAUUCCAGCUCCAAUAGCGUAUAUUAAAGUUGUUGCGGUUAAAAAGCUCGUAGUCGAAUCUGUGUCCCGCGCCGCCGGUUCAUCGCUCGCGGUGUUUGACUGGCGUGUCCGCGGGACGUCCUGCCGGUGGGCCCCGUUCCGGCGCGUUCGCGCGUCGGGGCGGCCCAACUUGAAAUCCCGCCGCGGUGCUCUUCACUGAGUGUCGAGGCGGGCCGGCACGUUUACUUUGAACAAAUUAGAGUGCUCAAAGCAGGCUAAAACUUCGCCUGAAUACUGUGUGCAUGGAAUAAUGGAAUAGGACCUCGGUUCUAUUUUGUUGGUUUUCGGAACCCCGAGGUAAUGAUUAAUAGGAACGGAUGGGGGCAUUCGUAUUGCGACGUUAGAGGUGAAAUUCUUGGAUCGUCGCAAGACGGACGGAAGCGAAAGCAUUUGCCAAAAACGUUUUCAUUGAUCAAGAACGAAA